Molecule: ribosomal RNA, 406 nt
Filed under: uncultured bacterium
Lineage: Bacteria
Description: partial 16S ribosomal RNA
Rfam family: Bacterial small subunit ribosomal RNA
Source: RNAcentral
AUUGAACGCUGGCGGCAGGCCUAACACAUGCAAGUCGAACGAGUGGCGGACGGGUGAGUAAUGUCUGGGAAACUGCCUGAUGGAGGGGGAUAACUACUGGAAACGGUAGCUAAUACCGCAUACCAUCAGAUGUGCCCAGAUGGGAUUAGCUAGUCGGUGGGGUAAAGGCGCACCAAGGCAACGGUCCCUAGCUGGUCUGCGAGGAUGACCAGCCACAGUGGAACUGGGACACGGUCCAGACUCCUACGGAAGGCAGCAGUGGGGAAUAUUGCACAAGGGGCGCAAGCCUGAUGCAGCCAUGCCGCGUGUAUGAAGAAGGCCUUCGGGUUGUAAAGUACUUUCAGCGGGGAGGCGUUACCCGCAGAAGAAGCACCGGCUAACUCCGUGCCAGCAGCCGCGGUAAUAC